UGUCCUUAGGCCACAGUGAAACUGUUGGUUGGCUGCCGAGGACUUGACUCAAGACUUUAGUCCUGAGAGCUUUAUUUUUUAUUGUCCCUCUUUGGAACUAGACAUCUGUGAUCACCGCUGACCUGAAUUAUCGUAUAUGACAGGCGCUAAACAACGGUGUCAUUGAAACACACAUGUCAAUAAAUUUGAAUCCUAAGCCGAUUCUGCCUAACAAAGGAUUGCACCCUAAACUCAAUUUAACAGAAGGAAACUUUGAAUCUCCUGGGUUCCCCUGACCACCAACUCCAUGGAGACCUGGU
Molecule: long non-coding RNA, 299 nt
Organism: Mesocricetus auratus (golden hamster)
Lineage: Eukaryota; Metazoa; Chordata; Mammalia; Rodentia; Cricetidae
Exons: 3
Source: RefSeq, a predicted model, not a curated record